RNAcentral lists this long non-coding RNA (40646 nucleotides) under Capsicum annuum. RNAcentral's name for it is "long non-coding RNA (CANN_LNC018017)". The record is from RNAcentral. Lineage: Eukaryota; Viridiplantae; Streptophyta; Magnoliopsida; Solanales; Solanaceae.
AAAAAAGUACCCUAAAUUAGGGUUUUCUAAUUGCUCCUCUUGUUCUUUAUCCAUCCGUCUUUUCCGCCGUCGAGGAUGUCUGUGUUGGUCUUUUGCAACCGUCAUCUCCGAGGAGAUCGAGUUGCUGUGAAGGGAAGCUCCAUCUGCCCUUCAUUUUUGUGAAGUUUUUGAUAGCUAGAGAGUCUAGCUUGUGUUAGCACAGUAGAGUAGUUGAUGUUGUUCAAACACUUCUUGUACCCCUGGGUAUAUCCCGUGGGCUUGUAAUAUUUAGGACCCCCUGCUCUUCCUUGCUUACUUUGUGACUGCUUUAUGCUCUCAUGCUUGUUAAUAUUAUGCAUGUGAAUUGAUCUUCCUUGUUCUGAUUCUCAAAUUAGGGAUUUGUGUUUUGUCUAUGUUUACAAACUUUCUUAUUUUUGCUGGUAGCUCUUAGAAACUAUGAUAGUCUCUAACAAUUUCUGCAUCAAUCACUUCAUCAGCUGAAGCGUCUGCAACUGUAUUUCCUUCUCUGAAUGUAUGUUGUAGUUGUGCUUGAAUCGUAGUAACCCUCUCUCUUAUGUCUUCAGUUUAUUCCACUAGUUCCCAAGGUACUUUACACUGUUUAUUUAUCAUUCUCAUCAAUACUAGGGAAUCAAUUUCAAUUAUUACCUUCCCGAUUGCCUUCUCUUGUAUGUAAUGUAAGAUUCUUUAAUUGCCUGAGUAUUAGUUGUGACUCCCAAUCCUUUAGCCUUUACAUAAAUCAGAUCUCCUUUAUCAUCCCUAACACAAAAGGCACAAGCACUUAUUCUUGGGUUGCCUUUACUUGCUCUAUCAGUGUUACAUUUAAGAGUAUUCUUCUCAGGAAGCCUCAAAACUACAUUAUAAUAAUUUAACUUUGGCUUGUAAUUUCACAAAAUGUGCACCACUUGUGGCCAAUUCUCCUUCCCAAUAUUAAUCCAUGGGUACAUCUUCUUUACUUGCUUUCUUUUCAUUUCCUGACUCUGCCACACCAAUUCUCCAUAUUUGAUAUCUCCACCAUGUUUAAUUGCAUUCCUUCUCCUCCACAUAUUCCACAUAAUGAUUGUUGGAAUUACUUUAAAUAUGACUUCAGUUUUGGUGAUGCUUUCAUUGUCUACCAAGCCAUGAUAAUCUCCUAUAAAUUCAUGUGUUCUAUGUCAAUACCUGAAAAAAUAGCAAACUCCCUCCAUAAAUUUGCAGCUAUGGGGGGCUGUUAGAAAUAAAUAGUUCAUAAUCUCUUCCUUCUUUACAUCACAACACCAACAUCUGGAUACAACAUUUAUCCACAUUAUUUUUAGAUUGUCAUCAGUUGCAAUCCUCCUUCUCCAAGCCCUCCAUAAAAAAAAAUUAAUUUUGAAAGGCAACCCUUUCGCCCAUAUCAUCUUGUAUUCCUCUCUUUUCUCCUUUUUCUGCCUCAAUAGUUCCCAUGCUGACUUGACUGUGAAAUUGCCCUGAGUAUUACCCAUCCACCAUGGUACACCAUCUUUUUUCACACCUUUGUGGCUGUAUAUUCUCAAUAAUAUAAUUAGCCAUCUCUUCUAAUAGUACACUUUAUAAUUUCAUGUCAUCCCAUUCUAUAUUAAUACAGAAAUCCUUUACCUCUAAUUCCUCCUCUUUCUAAUACCUCAUACUUUUCUUAGUUCAGUUCAGUUCCUAGUGCAUGCAUAAAGCCUAAAAAUUUAAUCAAGUAUUGGAAACUUAGUCAUUUUUUGGGGCCUUUUAACUCGAGAAUUUUUAAAGGGGCCUUUCCGACCUAGAGACGUUGGUUUUUGAGUUAAUUCAUGUUUAGGGAUGUAAGGCGCAUGUCUCGAGGAAGUUUUGGAUUUUUCGGAUGAGGAUUGGGUCUUGGUUGGAUUUCGAUUCCAGAACCUCACUGCAAUAGUGGCGCGUCGCGGUGGUAAUAGCGAUGAGCCCUUCACGCAUCGCGGUGUCCCAUUAAUCAGCAUUCCAAUUAUGAAUUUAAAUGUUUGAGGGGCAGUUAAGUCUUUUCCCAUUGGCUCAAUUCUUAAAAACAUGAAUUUAAGCUUCAAUGAGGGCAUUAUUCACCAAUUUCCUCUAAAAAACAAACCCUAAUCAUUCCCCCAAGUUUAGAAAUUCCAUUCCUUUCUCUCCAAGAAAAUCAAGAACUCAAGUUUUCCAAUUCAAGAACUUUCAAGAAAGCUUUCAAGAUUGUGUUUCCCUUUCAAGCUUAAGGGCUUCGGGUAUGUGGGAGGUUUAUCCAUGAGCCUUUUUCACCCAUGGAGUCCAAAAAUCUAUUUUUUAUGUUUCAAAUUAUGAAUUUACAUGUUUAUGAUGAAUUAUCUCCUUGAAGCUUUCGUGAAUUAUGGUUAUAAACUGUUUUUAAAAGUGUUUUUCAUUGGAAUGGACCCUUACACGUUUGAAUGAUGAUAUUUUCAUGUUAAAUCCCUAAUUCAUGAUUUUAGUAUUGUAACUAUGUUUUAAUUACACGUUUUAUCCAUUCUCAUGCUUAAGUUCAUGACUCUUACGUGUUUGGUGAAAUGCCUAAGUGUUGAAUUUUGAACAAUGAUGCCCUACUAUGGUUUUAAAGCUUUUAUAUGUCCAUAUUGCUAUUUUCAUUCAGUGGUGGAGGGUUAUGAAUACCCGCUACUUAGCUAUUUACCUAGUUUUAGUAUCUUCAGAAUGCUUUCAGACAGACCAUGAGCAUUAUCAUUCAAUUAGUUAUCAUAAUCAAUUGUUUGUUCAGUUAAACUUAGUCAGUCCAGUAAUCAGUGUCAGUUUAAUUGGGAGUAAGAUUUAGCAUCGAGCGAGGCCAGGGAUGGAGGCUCACCUACCAGUAGAGGGUGUGACCUUUAGUAGCAGCCCCUGAGUUCUGGAACUACGUAGCCAGCGUAGGUUAGAGAUAUCAACCUGCCAGUUAAGAACCAUAAGGUAUUUUCUUGCCAGUUGAAGGUAAUACAUAUCUCAUUAGAGCACUUGCCAAUUGAGGGUGACUCAUUAGUCCUUCGGGAUAUUAGUUUAGUGGAUCCACACAACUAUUGUUAGUACCCGUGGCACGGUACUGAUACUCUUCCAAUUGGGGUCACAGGUUGGACCCCGAUUAGCUCAGAUUGGGUCAUAUCGGUUAGAUGAUACCUCACACAGUCUCAGUUCAGUAUUCAGUACAGAAUUAAAUUUCAGGUUUGCUUGACCAUAGUAUACUAUUAUCAGUUAUUCAGUUAACUGAUUUCAAUAUUUCAGUUUACAAACUAUUUUAGAAGCAUAUUAUAUGCUUGGUCAUGCAUUCUCAAACUUUACAUCUUUCACGCAUUUAUAUUCAGUUAUCUCAUGCUAUUCAGUCAGUCUUUACUUCAUGCACAGAAAUCCAUGCAUUUUAGCCUAACCUCAUCUCAUAUACCAGUACAUUUAAAGUAUUGAUCACAUACUCUUCUUUGUGCUAUGAUGUUUAAUAUCAUAGGUUCGUACACGUAGUUUUCCGAUCGCGCUUAGAUAGUUCAUCUAGUCAGGAGCAACAACAGUGGUAAAUUCGCAUUAAACAAGGACCUGUUAUGUUGAAGUUAGUUGGGGUCUGUCCCAUCUACUCUUUUCAGUCACUUUAGAGGCUUUCAGAUAUUUUAGACAGUUAGUCAGUUUAUCAGUUGUUUUAUCAGUCCUUUUAGUAUGUCUUUAGACGUUUAAACUUAUGAUUUGAAUCAUGUUUUUAGUAUUUAAAAUUAGAUGGCUUUUAUCUGUUAGUUUCGUACAUGAGUAUUUUGUUACUGUAUUUAGUGCUCACAGUAGGUACCAGCCCAUGAGUUAGCUUGUGGUCACUUGUGGUUGUAAGCACCAUUGUCGCAACUAGGGGGUAGCCUCGGGUCAUGAAAAAAUUUGGUAUCAAAGCCUAAGGUUGUAUAGUGUCCUAGGGAGUCUGAAAGCUGCAUUAGGUAGAGUUUUGUGCAUGUGUGUGAAGCGCACCAUACUUAUAGACACGAGGCUACAAAAUGUUUUAGGAAAAGUUUCUCUUCUUUUAGUAUUCAUGUCAUGCGAAUGAGCAUGAGCUCUAUCUAAACGCUCUUUCUAAUCUAUACUUUAUUCUGUUACAGACCAUGCCUCCCAGAAGGAAUAACGGAAGGAGGAAUAAGAAUCAGCUCACACCUUUGCUUAUUCAGGAAGAUCCCUUGAAUGUGUAUGUCUAUCACACCGAAUUUAGAGCUGCUUUUACUACCUUAGAUUAUUCAUUAGUUGCUCAGAACAAUCAGCAGGUUGUUGUCCUAUCUAGGGUUAUGGUUCAUGCUCAUUAGAGUGAGAGAGAGAAUCAUAGGAAGAAAGAGAGGGAGAAUAAGAGGAUCAAAAUAAGUAGUUUUAAGCCAAGGUCAGAUGGUGGUAACCGCUCCCAGUUCCAUCAGAACUUCACAGCCCCAGGUCCUUCUACAACUAGUGUGCCAGUGCCAAAAUUUAGAAAUAACAGUCGGGAUAGAGGGUCAGGCUCUAAGUUGUAGAGCAACAUAAACAGUUGUUUUACCAAUCUACUUUAUCGGAGAUGUGGUAAAAAUCAUCAGGGUGUAUGUAGGGCUGGUAGUGGUGUUUUUUUGGGUGUGGCAGGACAGGCCACAGGGUCAGAGAGUGUCCAGUAGUAGCUCAGAAGGGAAAAGAUUUGCGCUAAUAAGGCCAGUCCAAUCAUCCUUCAGCUCCAGCAGGUCGCCCGACUCAGCAGGGUGCCACUUUCAGUGCCACCAGUGGUCAGCGCCAAAAUAGACUUUAUGCACUCUAAUCCCGACACGAUCAGAAAAGUUCUCCUGAUGUGAUUAUGGGUAUGUUACAGGUCUUUCAUCUUCGUGUUUAUGCUUUAUUAGAUCCCGAAGCUUCACUUUCUUUUGUAACCCCUUGUAUAGCUAUCAAUUUUGGUGUCAUUCCUGAAUUUCUAGUAGAGCCCUAUUCAGUAUCUAUUCAAGUAGGUAAACCUAGUAUAUCCAGACGGGUAUACAGAAAUUUCCCGAUUACGGUAUCCCAGAAACUCACUUUAGUUGAUCUUGUGGAGUUAGAGAUGACUGAUUUUGAUGUCAUUCUUGGCAUGAAUUAGCUCCAUUCAUGCUAUGCUUCAAUUGACUGUAGAAAUAAAGUCGUUUAGUUUUAGUUCCUCAAUGAGCCAAUCAUCGAAUAGAUGGGUAGUAUCCCAGUGCUUAGGAGUCAGAUAUGCUUUUAGAUCCCUUCUCAUAAUCCUAUGAUAGCAUAUGACCUAGAUUUAGAAGCAUGAACCUAGAAAUUUAGUAGCAGUAAAGUAGGAAUAGUGUUAUUUGAAUUUGGUGGAUUAUGUAUCCAUGAGGCUAGUUGUAUUGAAGGUGAGUUAGUAGGCUUGAAACAGUGUAUGCAAGAUUUAAGUUGUUGAUUCAAAAUUAAGUAUGAUGAUGUGUUAUUAUGUGCGAAUGAGGUUAUAUGGUAUAUGAUGUUCUUAUCAGUUAACUUAUGGGUUAUAAGUUGAUGAUGUUAGUUAUGUUGGUGUAAUGAUAUUUCUCAUAGUGUAAGGAAAAUAUAAGUUAAGAGUUGUGAUAUUAGUAGGUUGUGAAGGAAGUUAGUAUAGUUCAGUAAGGGUUUGGAGAUAUCCAUGUUAAUUGUUAAAAUCUAAUUUUGAAUCUUUGAAGAUUGAGCUAACAGAAAGAGAGUUGAAACUUUAGGUGUGUGAACUCAGGAUAUGGUGAUACUACUAAAAAUUCUAAGUUAGUAAGUGUUCAAGUUAUUAUACCAUGACUAUGGGGGCUGUAGAAAUUAAAGAAUUGUAUAUUAGAAGAAAGUACUAGCAGUGGGUCUUACAUUAUCAGGCAUAGUCUUUCAUAGUGAGUUUAGCAUUUAUGCGUAUUAUUAUAUCACCAACUUAGGAUGAUAGAUUGAAGCUAAGGGGGAGAUGAUAGAAUAAGUAACCAAGUUAGGCUCUCAGAUCCUAGUAGUGAUGCCAGUAUAUGUAGAAAAAUAGUAAGGGGGGAUGAUGCCCAACCCAUUCUUAUUUCAGUCUUUGUACUUCAGCUAUCGUGAUAUCUACUCAUACUUGAUAUGUUAGCUCUCUGAUCACGGCUCAUAUUUAUGCACUUUAUAGAAAAUCGUGUAUGUUUUUAGUUUUUAGUAUAAAGAGUUCCAAUUUACUCAGCAGCCCAAAUCAUAUUUCAUAAAUUUAUGAACUCUAAAUUUAGGUCAUGCGGCUCAUGACUCAUGUACUCAUGCUUUGCAGUAGUUCCAGUUCUAGGUACUCAUGAUACACUCUUGAUGAUCAUCGAAAUCCAUAUCAUGUCAUUUACGUCCUCAGUUUAGAUCUCUUUAAUAAAUUCAUGAUGCUAAUACUUUAUUCCUCGGGCCUUAGUUAAGUUUCCCAGUUAUGCAUAGUACUCUUUCAUGCUUCAGGUCCUCAUGUUCAAACCUUUCAAUAACCUUUCCUUAUGUCAAGAUAGUGAUGAUGAACAGUUGUUUAGAUGGUAGAGAAUAAAUGUUUCUUGUUGACGAAAGCUUGUUGUAUGCCUGUUUGAUCUAAGGUUAUAACUGUGAAUUAAGAUUGAGGCCAAGUUUUUGAUAUAUGUCAUGGUUAUUCGAAAUUUUGUGUGUGGUUCUCUUAAGAAUAAUGGAUGGAAGUUGUUAAUGAUAGAGGUUUGGAGGAUAUGAGAAAGAUGUUUUUAUGGAUAUUUAUUUAGAAGUUCAUGUGUGGUUAGGAAGAUAGGCUUGAAUGUCAUGUUGGUGUAUAAGUGGAUGACUGCAUUGCGUGUUAGUAUUCCUAGUAAAAGGUUGAAUAUAGUUGUUGAAGUGGUAAUCCGAAUUAUUCAUGAGAUGGGAAGUUGUGGAACGCAGGUUGUAUUGAAUUCAUGAUUCCGACUAGUAUUACAGUGUUAUGGGUGCACUUUGUAGAUUUGAGUAGGCUUGAAUAUAAUAAAAGAAUUUAGUUCAGCUCAGACUUACGUAGCUAGGGUUAUCAGUGCCCAUGUGAAUAUUUUUAAUUGCCUUAAGUGAAGUGCGAUAGUGAAGUGAUAUGUACAGUUGAGGGAGUAUUUGAGAAGUACAUCUAAGCUUGAAAGUAGCAGUUGCAUUGUUUAAGGGAUACCAAUCCUAUCCUAGCUUAUAUUUCGUAGGCGUAUGUUCUAUGUCAUAGAAUUUUAGCCGUGUUGGGAUUCCUUAUACAGAUUUCUAAUUCAGAUCAUGCUCAAAAUUCUUUGCUCUCUACUGUUAUUAGAAUUUCUUAGAAAAAAUUGUUGGAGAAAUUCUCUAGUUGAGUAUAAGCUUUUGGUAUGAGUUAAUCCAUAAAGCAACAAUUCAGUUUAGAAGUCAAACAUUUAAGUUUCUAUGGUUUUCCAUGUAUCCAUCUGGUCAUACUAUCCGAAGUCUCAUGAAUAUGGCUAUUCUAAGAGGUAAAAUGUUUGUAUUUUGGUAAUUUGUGAAUUCAGCUAAGUUCGCGCAUCACGCAUUAGUUUCAAAUUCCAGAUAUUCAGUCAUGAUUCAGGCUGUAAGUAUCCCGUGUAUCAUCUCAGUCCUUCCUUAGUAUUGCAACCAAGUCAAUUUCAUUCGGGGGACAAGAUAUCCCUAAGGGGAGAUGUACUAUAAUGCCCCGAGGUUUCAUGUCCUAAACCUCUCAACUUUUCUUCACGAAAUAAGAUCCAACUUGAAGUAAUGGGUACUCAUAAGUUAACUCUCUCAUUUCUAUCUCAGCUUUAUAACCAUUCUCAUAUCAUUGUAUACAUUCACGAAAUCAGUUCAGUCAUGUAUCAUGUAAUCAUAUUUUCAGUUAUGCAUGUUUAGUAGGUGAUCUCAGUUGCCAUAGUUCAGAAAUCUGAUCUUAAUUAGUCUCAUUCGAGGACGUAUGUUUCCAAAGGGGAGAUAUUUUAAUACCCCAUACUUUUUUUAGUUUAGUUCGGCUCCUAGUGCCUGCAUAAGAGGCUUGAAUCCUAAAAAUUUAACUAAGUGUUGGGGACUUAGUCAUUUUUUUAGGCCUUUUAACUUUGAGGAUAUUUAAAGUGGCCUUCCUGACCCCAAGACGUUGGUUUUCGAGUUAAUUCGUUUUCAGGGGUGUACGGAGCAUGUCUAGAAAAAGUUUUGGAUUUUUCGGAUGAGGAUUGGGUCAUGUUUGGAUUUCGAUUCUAGAAUCUCACCGUGAUAGUGGCAAGUCGCGAUGGUAAUAGUGAUGAUCCCUUCAUCACGUCGCGGUGUCCCAUUAAUCAGCAUUCCAGUUAUGAAUUUAAAUGUCUGAGGGGCAAUCAAGUCUUUUUCCAUCGACUCAAUUCGUAAAAACAUGAAUUUAAGCUUUAAUUAGGACAUUAUUGGCACAUAUUCUCUAAUUUUCUCUUAAAAAAAAACCUAAUCAUUCCCCCAAGUUCAAUUCCAUUUUUUUAUCUCCAAGAAAAUCAAGAACUCAAGUUUCCCAAUCCAAGAACUUUCAAGAAAGCUUUUAAGAUUGUGAUUCCCUUUCAAGCUUAAGGGUUUAAGGUAUGUGGGAUGUUCAUUCAUAUGACCUUUUCACCCAUAGAGUCUAAGAAUCUAUUUUUUAUGUUUCAAAUUAUGAAUUUACAUGUUUAUGAUGAACUAUCUCCAUGAAGCUUUAGUGAAUUAUGGUUAUAAAUUAUAUUUACAAGUGUUUUUCAUUGGAAUGAGCCCUUACACGUUUGAAUGAUGAUAUUUUCAUGUUAAAUCCCUAAUUCAUGGUUUUAGUAUUGUAACUAUGUUUUAAUUACAUGCUUUAUCCAUUUUCAUACUUAAGUUCACGACUCUUACGUGUUUGAUGAAAUGCCUAAGUGUUGAAUUUUGAACAAUGAUUCCCUAUUAUGGUUUCCAAGUUUUUAUAUGUCCAUGUUGCUAACUUUAUUCAACGUUGGAAAGUUAUGAAUACCCACUACAUAGCUGUUACCUAGUUUUAGUAUCUUCAGAAUGCUUUUAGACAGACCAUGAGCAUUAUCAUUCAGUUAGUUAUAAUAAUCAGUUGUUUGUUCAGUUAAGCUUAGUCAGUCCAGUAAUCAGUGUCAGUUCAGUUGGAAGUAGGAUUUAGCACCGAGCGAACCCAGGGAUGGGGGCUCAUCUGUCAGUAGAGGGUGUGACCUUUAGUAGUAGUCCCUAAGUUUCAGAACUACUUAGCCAGCGUUGGUUAGAGAUAUCAACCAGCCAAUUGAGAGUUAAUAAGGUGUUUCCCUGUCAGUUGAGGGUAAUACAUAUCUCAUUAGAGCACCUGCCAGUUAAGGGUGACUCAUUCAUCCUUCGGGACAUUAGUUUAGUGGACCCACACAACUAUUGUUAGUACUCGUGCCACGGUACUGAUACCCUUCCAAUUAGGGUCACAGGUUGGACCCCAAUUAGCUCAGAUUGGGGCAUAUCGAUUAGAUGAUACCUCCCACAGUCUCAGUUUAGUAUUCAGUGCAGAAUUCAGUUUCAGAUUUGCUUGACCAUAACAUACAGUUAUUCGUUAUUCAGUUACCAGAUUUCAGUAUUUUAGUGUACAAACUAUUUCAAAAAUAUGUUAUCAGUUCGGUUUCAUGCCAGGUCCCUCGACUACGGAGGCCAUUCACCUGGUGGGGAGAUUAGUAGAGCAGUUUCAAGAGAGGAAAAAGGACUUGCACAUGGUGUUUAAUGAUCUUGUGAAGGCAUAUGACAGAGUUCCCAGAAAGAUUUUGUGGAGGUGCUUGAAGGUUAGAGGGGUGCCCGUGGCGUACGCUAGGGCGAUUCAAGAUAUGUAUGAUAAUGUAAAGACUCGUGUGAGGAUGGUAGGAGGUGAUUCAGAUCACUUUCUAGCUUUGAUAAGUUUGCACCAAAGAUCGACUGUUAGCCCUUUUUUAUUUGCCUUGGUGAUGGAUGCGUUGACUCAGUAUAUUCAAGCUGAGGUGCCUUGGUGUAUGUUAUUUUCUGAUGAUGUGGUAUUGAUCGACGAUACUCCGGGAGGAAUUAAUGAUAAGUUAGAGAUUUGGAGACAGGUCCUUGAGUCUAAAAGAUUUCGAUUGAGCAGGACCGAGACGGAGUACUUGGAGUGUAAUUUUAGUGAUAUAUCGCAGGAGGCUGAUGUGGUUGUGCAGCUGGACUCUCAGGCCAUUCAAAGGAGAAAGAGUUUCAAGUGUCUGGGGUCUAUAAUUCAGGGCAAUGGCGAGAUUAACGAGGUUGUGACGUAUCAUAUUGGGGCAGAGUGGUUGAAAUGAAGGCUCGUUUUGAGAGUUUUAUGAGAUAAGAAGGUGCCCCCAAAUAUUAAGGGUAAGUUUUACAGAGUGGCAGUUCGAGCGGCUAUGCUGUAUGGAGCGGAGUGUUGGCUAGUUAAGAACUCCCACAUCUAGAAGUUUAAGGUGGUAGAGAUGAAGAUGUUUCGAUGGAUGUGUGGCCAUAAUAGAAAAGAUAGGGUGAGAAAUAAGAUUAUUCGGGAGAAGGUGGGUGUGGCUUUGGUGGAGAAAAAUAUGCAAGAAGUACGGCUACGUUGGUUUGGGCACGUGAUGAGAAGAGGCUCUGAUGCUCCAAUAUGGAGGUGUGAGUCAUUGGCUAUGGAUGAAUUUAGGCGGGGUAGAGGUAUACUGAAGAAAUAUUGAAGGAAGGUAAUUAGGCAUGAUAUGGAGCAGUUACAACUGAGAGAGGACAUGAUCCUUGAUAAGAAGGUGUGAAGGAUGAGGAUUAGGAUAGAGGGUUAGAGGGUGAGAUUUUUUCUUUAUUUGUGUUUGAAGUUUCUUGUUCGUGGCUGUUGAGUGAUGUCUAUGUUUUCGCCUAGAUAGGUUUUUCAGUAGUAUCUGGUGGCUGUUAUAUUACCUUGUGGAUACUAGUGUUAGUUUAUUUUGCAUAAUGUACUAGUCUAUAUGUAUUUAUGUUUUAUGAUUUGCUAUACUGUUAUCGAUCCUAAUCCGGAGGUCUAUCGGAAACAUCCUCUCUACUUCUUCGGAGUCUGCAUAUAUUAUACCCUCCCCAGACCCCACUAUGUGGGAAUACACUGGUUAUGUUGUUGUUAUAUGUUUGGUCAUGCAUUCUCAAACUUUACAACUUUCACGCAUUUAUAUUCAGUUAUCUCAUGCUAUUCAGUCAGUCUUUACUUCAUGCACAUAAACUCAUAUAUUUCAGUCUAACCUCAUCUAAUAUACUAGUACAUUCAAAGUACUGAUCGAAUACUCUUCUUUGCACUAUGAUGUUUAAUAUCAUAGGUUUGGACGCUCAGUUUCCCGACCGCGCUUAGAUAGUUCAGCUAGUCAGCAGCAGCAAUAGUGGUGAGUCCUCAUAUAAUGAGGAUCUGUUAUGUUUCUUUUAGUAUUUCCGCAUUUCAUUUCAGUUAGACAGUUGGAGUUAGUUAGGGUCUGUCCCAUCAAUUCUUUUCAGUUAGUUUAGAGGCUUUCAGACAUUUUAGACAGUUAGUCAAUUUAUCAGUUGUUUUACCAGUCCUUUUAGUAUGUCUUCAGAUGUUCAGACUAAUGAUUUAAAUUAUAUUUUCAGUAUUUAAAACCUUGUGGCUUUUAUCAGUUAGUUCUGCACAUGUGCAUUUUGUUACUUUAUUCAUUGCCCACAGCAGGUACGAACUCUUGGGUUAGCUUGUGGUCACUUGUGGUCGUAAGCACUAUUAGCGCGACUAGGGGAUAGCCUCAGGUCGUGACACUCUUCUUGUACAUUGUCCCCUUCCACAAAAUAUAAAGCACCUUGUUUUGUCCCGUUAUCAAACCAAAAAUUGGAGUUCCCUAAUCUAAUCUGCCAUCAUAUAUUGUGUUCCACUUCUUCCCUUACAUCCACUAUCUUCCUCUAAACAUGUGAAGCCCCUACUUCCGUAUCCAGUAUUGGAUGUAACUUUUUACAAUACUUGUUUCCAUAAAAUCUGCCCACAUAGAUAAAGUAGAGAUCCUAAAGUUCCACCACAACUGAGCAAAAAGAGCCUUUGAAAUAGUAUGUAAGGACCUUAAUCCUGUACCACCCUCUUCCAGUGGGAAACACAAGUUUUCCCAUGACACCCAGUGUUUAUUUCUAGCUCCAGUAGAAUUCGUCCAAAAAAAUUUAGAAAAAGUUCUACGAAGUUGGUUAAUAACUCCCACUGGAGGAUUCAUAGAUCAUAAAAGAUAGAUAGGUAUAGAUUGAGGAAUAUGCUUAUUCAAUAUGUAUCUACCCCCAAAAUAUAACAACUUAUUCUGCCACAUACUCAAUCUCUUGAACACCUUUUUAAUCAAUUCUUCAAAAUAGCCCUUAUUCUUCCUACUGUAAAACACAGGACGGCCUAGAUAGACAAAAGAAAGGGAUCCUUGCUUUAUUCCAGUAAUUCUUCUAAUUUGAUUACUAACACCUACUGGAACUUUAUCAUCUAAAUACAAGAAACUCUUAUCCAAAUUGAUUAACUGAUCUGAUACCUUUUCAUAUUUUCUUAGUAUAUGCAUCAUCUUCUUUAUUGAUCUAGGCUGCCUUGAGCAGAAAAGAAUUAUAUCACCAGCAUAAGAUAAGUGGUUGAUCUUUGGACUCUAUUUUGGCAUGUCAUAACCCAUGUACUAAAUCCUCAAAUAAGUCAUUCAAACUUCUAGUAAGCACCUCUAAUGCAAUGGUGAAUAGUGUAGGAUACAAAGGAUCUCCUUGCUUCAGUCCCCUAGAUGAUUGAAAGAAUCCAUAAGCUUGUCCAUUAAUCAAGAUAGUAUACCAGUUAUUACUAACCAGUCUCACUAUUAUAUCAAUAAUUCUUUCUGAAAAACCAAACUUCCUUAGGACCUGCACCAAGAAUUUCCAUGAAACCCUAUUAUAUGCUUUAGCCAUAUCCAUCUUUACCACCAUAUUGUGCAACUUAUUCCUUCUAUUAAUACCCCUUAUGAUUUUCUGUGCAAGGAGAACAUUUUUUGUAAUGUUCCACCUUUUCACAAAUCCAGCUUGACUAGGAGAGAUCAGUCUAGGAAACACCUUUUCUAUUCUAUCAUGAAUAAGUCUUGAAAUAAUCUUAUUAAUAAACGUACUUAGACUGAUAGGUCUCAGAUCACCAAAGUUCUUCACCAUCUUUUUUGAGGGAUUAGUACCAGAUUAGUAUGUGUUACAUACCUUGGAAGCUCAAAUCCAUAGAAAAAGCUUUCACCAUAUUUAUAAUAUCUUUACUAAUUAUCCCCCUGCUUGCUUGGAAAAAAUGUCCUGAGAAUCCAUCUGGUCCAUUAGCACUAUCAGCACUGAGUGAGAACGCCACUUUCUUAACCUCCUCUUCAACUAGCAUAUUUUCCACUUCCAAAUUAUCCUCUUCCUAGAUCAGGCAUGGAAUAUAAUUAAUCAUAUCAUAAUUGGCUGGCUCUGGACCCUUCUUGAAUUGUUCCUUAAACACAUUUAUUGUUUCUUCACCAAUAUUCUGAGAUGAGUCGAUCCCUUGCAUUGUGAGAAUUUCUUUUAUCUGCAUUUCCCUUCUUUUUCCUUUCAUAAAUGCAUGUAAAAUUUUUGUGUUCCUAUCACUAUUUCUAAACCACCUCAUCCUAAUUUUUUAUUUCCAAUAUUCCUCCUCAAUUUUCAUUUUUUUUCAAGUUUGCUUCAGCUAAUUUCAGUUUAGUUAUACUUUCCUCAUUAGUAUGCACUUCAACUUGUAUAUCCUUCACCUUUAUAAUAUCCUCCAGAGUUGCAAUCUUUUGAAAUAUGUUACCAAAUGUCUUUUUGCUCCAAGUAUUCAUACUGCUCCUGACUUUCUUCAUUUUUACCUGCAUAAUAGUAAAUGGUGAUCAUGUUACCUCAAUACCCCAACUUUCUUCCACCGCUUGAUUAAACUUUUUGUGUUUUGUCCUAAAGUUCAGGAAAUGGUUUCAUAAUCUGAUCCUGAGCAUCAUUGCAUAUCACAUGCAAUGGUUCAUGAUCUGAACUUUGUUUGAUAAGAUGAUGUACCUCACUAUUCGAAAGCAACUGCAUAAAUUCAUUAUUUCUUAGAACUCUAUCAAGUCUUUUGAAAAUAUUGUCUUCAGUUAUUCUUUCAUUCCGCUAAGUGUAGGUGUUUCUAGUGUAUCUAAUCUCAUUAAGAGAGCAAACACUCAUACAAUACACAAAAUUAGUUGUCUCUUAUUGCGUGACUUGUAUACCUCCAAACUUUUCUAAUUCAUUAGCCAUGUUGUUGAAAUCCCCACCAACUAACCAUGGCAUAUUAGUUUGUUCAACAAUAUUUUUAAGAUUUUCCCAUAAUUCCAAUCUGUCCAAUGCACUACAUCUAGUGUUACUAUUUUGAUCUUGAAAUAUUUUGUAUCACCCCUAAGCUGAUAAGUCAUUAUGAGUUGCUGAAAUAUAUGCACACACUCUUUUUCUUCCCACUUUUCAUCCCAGAAAAUUUAAAUUGUUGAUGAGGAACUCACUCUAGCAUUUGAAAACCCUAAUUUUAUUCUGCAACUUUAUAUUUCUGAAGGGCUUUGAAAAGGUUCAAAAAGUGCAAUAUAUGAAUACUGGUGCCUUCUCUGCAGAUCUAUAAGCCUCUCAAAAGUAUUUUGAGUUCUUACAGACCUGAUGUUCCAUAAAAACACUUUGUUAAUCAUUAAUCAGAGGUAAAAGAUGAACCUUUCUUCCUUCUUGUAUUCAUUUGUGAUUGAAGCAACCUCUGCUUAGUACCUUUUUUUGUCUUUCCUUUUAGUUUUUCAAUUUUUCUAGGAUAUAAAUCCCUACUUCUACUUAUCUCUUCUACUUCAUUAUUCUACUUUUCUGCAAUUUCAUGUUCAUUUAGAGUGUUUAUUUUUGAACUUUGUUGUUGUGCUGUCUUCUCGUCUUCACUUCUUCCUGACUGCUAUUCAUGGUUACUAUUUUUCUGUGAAUGAGUUAUUUCUUCUCCCUUGUUUGUUCCUUCUUCAUCGGGUACACUCUCUUGAACAUGUUUUGAAUUUUCUUAUACUGAACUUUUUUUUUCAUUUUGUAUGCUUUUUCCUGGUGACUUUGAUGAAUUUACUGACAUUACUCCCUUUUUAUCAACAUUAUUAACUUUCCCAGAUAACUUCUCACCCUUAUGCUCCUUGCUUUUGCUACUGGAACCUAUAUUCAGUUUCUUCUCCAGAUAAUUCUCUGUUUGUUUUUCUUGAUUUUCACUCUCCUUUUUGUUUUGUUGCUCCUUAUCUCCCUUAUCCUCUUUCGAGUUCUGUCCAUUGUCCCCCAAAGCUUCAAAUUUAUUAUCAGUUGCCACGUCUAGUUAUUUAGGGUUCCAUGUCUUUUUCAUUUUUUCCCUCUGAUUUUGUCUACUUCUUCUAUAUCCACCUUUUCUUCUUUGUUCUUGAAACUCAUUAUUGAACUUCUUUUUUCCCCAUCUUCCAAUGUUGUUUUGUCCUCCUCAUUACGCACUUCCUUCAGCUUGUCAUGGUGUUUUUCUUCUUGUGAUUUCUCUUUAGUAUUUUCUUCUUCUUCUUUAGGAUAUAAAUCAGGAUGAAGGAUGUAACAUUUCUUCUUAUUAUGAUCCUAUAACUUGCAAUUUUUGCAAUAUUUGGGCACAUAAUCAUAUCUAAUAUUCACCCAGUUCUCCCUAAUUUCUCCUGUCUUUAUUCUCAUACCUACAUUAGUUCUUUUCGAAAAUUCCCCAGAAGAUAUACUUCCACCUUAACUCUAGCACAACUUGACCUUGUUUUAUUUUUGGUAGCAAGAUCAACUUUCAAUGAUUUCCCUAUUGCUGCCGCCAAUGAAAACACUGCCUCCUUUCCAAAAAAAUUGUGGUAGAGCAGAGAAAGAUAUUCAUGCAAUAGCAAUAGAUGUUUCCUCCUCAGGUUUAAACAAUGGAUCCCACUUCAAAGUACGCAUUGGGUAUGACCAAUAUUUAUGUAUUAUAUAGAAUUGAGGCUUGGAGAGCAAGUGCACAUAAUCAUCUAAUCUCGUGGCUCUAAUUAAAAUGCAUAUUGAAGGUCUUCGUUAAUAAUCAUCUGAUGAAUCUCCUCUUUCUCCCAUACCACCCUAGGCUCUCCAUGCAAAUAAGCAAUCUGCUUCAAAGGGUUGGGCUUAUGAUUCUGUGUUAUUGAUUUGAUGGUGUCAGCAUACAUAGGUUUAUUAUUUUAUUUAACUCCAAGUGUAGAAGAUGAUGCUAGCCCAGUUUCCACUAAAUGAGGAGGUUGGCCAGCAGUCACUAAAUCCAUCAUUCGAUCAAAUUUUGAUCAACGUAUGGUACAACGAUGGAUUUAGGUUUUUCCGGCUCUCUCCGUGAAGUUGUAUCACCAUCUAUCUUUUAUCUUUAUUUCUUUGUAUCGUACUUUAUUUUCGUUUUUGUUAUUUUACUUCUAUCAUUAUAAGUCAUGAAUCAAAAGUUAAAAGGUGAUCAAUUUAUAACUUUGGACUGAUUUAGCUUAUUAGAACAUUUGAUAUUCACCAAUAAAAAGUAUUUAUAAACUAAUUUUAAUAGCUUAUAAUCUUAGUCAGACACCUUUUGCGUAGUAAAUAUUAAACUCUAUGAAUGAAAAUUUUAUUUCCAUCACUAAAUAUAUCUUUGCAUUUAACGAUUAAAAAUGUCCCUUUUAAAAUCGAAGGGCCAGUCUGGUUGAAAAAGAAUUAUCUUUAGUUAUUCCAUCAUGUAUAUGAGAUAACUUAUUCCAUCAUUAUGGUAUAAAUGAUAAAAUAAAUAAUUUUGAUACUAGCUAAUACCUCACACUAAACAUGAAGUAAAAUAAUCUAUUUUGUCUUAAAAUUAUUUAUCUCUUAUUGCUCACAACCCCUCAAUCUCUUAGUCACUCUUGAUGGCUUUUCUUCUUUCUUUGAUUUGUUUGCAUAGUGACAUCUUUUAUUAUUUGUUCAAAAUGUUAUCAUGGUUCUUUUGUCUUUGUCAUAUGCUAAUUCUUAUUUGGAAAAGUUAAAAUUGGACCUCAUGUUUAUGUCUUUCUCUUGUAAUUGACUCUUACUUUUCUGUUACGUCUAUUCAUGCCACCUGUGAGAUUGAUAUCCAACCGAUUAAAAUAUAUAACUUUUAGUUGAGAUCAUAUAAGUGUUGAUAAUAUUAGAAAAUAUAAUCCUGAUAUCCUUUCGUGCUCACCAUCUAAAAAUUGUGAUCAAAUCCAAUAUAUUAAUUCACAUCUACAUAUGAAUUUACAAAAACGUAUAUGUAAUAAUCCAUCCAUUUUUUCUUAAUCGAGUUCUCAAAUACAAUAAUAUUUGUUCCUAUUCAAAAACGUAUAAUUAUCUCAUUUAAAACUUUUAAUUUUUCAUUAGAUCAGUUAAUUUAUCAUGUAAUUAUAUUCUCAACAUACUUCUUCCAACCGCAUCCUUUUCGUGACAUUUGUUGUGACUGGACUUGGCCAACUUGUAUUUAAGGUCCUUUUCAAGAUUAAUUUCUUUUCCGCUUUCUUGAUAUUCUUGGAGAAAGCUCAAAUGGAGACUAGAGUUGUCUAAUAAUGCAAUCACAAGUUAAGUCGAUGUCACUAUAAUUAAUCAAGGAAAAAAUUGGUGAAAAUCAUUUCCCCCUCAACUUUACUUUAAAAAUAAAAUUUUCCUCUCAAUUUUAAACAAUGAACAUUCUCUCUCCUUUUUCUUACUUGUCUUUUUUAAAUACCUAUUUUACCCUUACACUAUUAAUCUUUAUUUUUCUUUACCUCUUUAAAAUUAUUAUAUUUUUUAUUUUUAAUACAUAUAGUAAAUUUUUAUAAAUAAAAAGAAAAUUAUUUUCUAGAUAAAAAACGUGAGAAACAUAUAUCAAGUAUGUAAGUUAGUGAUGUUCUAAAUGAAAUAAAUGAUCAUGAUAUGAAAAUUUAUUUAUUAAUAAUAAUUAAAACAAUAAUAUCUAUUUAUACUAGUGAAAAUAACAAAUAAAAAUAAUUUCAUAAACAUAUUUCAAUGCAUGCAAUAUAUAACAUAUAACAAAAAUAGAGAUAUAUUUUAUACUAAAUUAAUUCAAAAGUUUACUUAUAUUAUAAAUAUAUACUCGCUCUGUUCACUUUUACUUGUCAUUAUUUCGCUUUUUGAGGUCAACCUGCAUGAAAUUUGACCAAUAUUUUAAAAUGUAUAAUUUAAUAUUUAAAUUAAAAAUUUAGAUGAUCAGAAAAUAUAUGAAAAAUGCUAUAAGUUGCAAUCCUGCUUCAUAUUAAUAAAAUGAAAAAAUAUAUCUUAAAAUAUUUGUUAAAAUUUAUGCAGGUUGACCUGAAAAAAACGAAAAGUGGCAAGUAAAAAAGAACCUAGGGAGUAUAUCAAAACUCAUGUGCAUAUAUAUAUAUACACAUACACGCACACACUUAAUGAAUGUAAAAUAAGAGAUAAGGGACAAGGUACUCCUAAACUAUAUCUGAAGUUGUUAUGACAUACUUAAACUUUAAGGGAGACCUAUUACCAUCUAAACUCAUUUUUGCUAAUAUGACCGUCAAGUAUUAAAAUAUUUUUGUACUUCUUUUGGGGGAGACAAAAAAUACUUAUGCGUUAUCACAAUAAAAUAACAAUCAUAAAAAUUAACAUUAACUUUUGUGACAAGUUCAUUAAAAAGGUUAUAUUAAAAAAUUUAAAUAAAAAUAUAUAAAUACUUGACUAAAAUAAAUAAUGUAUACUAUAAGAAGAUAUCGAUAAUGUCAACGUUAAAAUAGACAUUAUCAAGGUAAAGGGGGGAGGGAGGGGAGAAUGUUUAUUAUUCAAAGUAGAGGGGUGAGUUUGAUUUUUAAAGUAAACUUGAGGGAGGAAAUGAUUUUCACCCAGUAAAAAAUACAUAAAGUAGCAUUUUUAAGUAUUAAAUUAUAAAAAAUAACAACGCUUUUAUCAAAUUAUAUUUUGUAGCAUAUGUAUUUGUAUGCUGUAUUUUUGUAGCAACAGUUUACAAAAAUACAAAAUACAUAUCGAUCAUAAGUGUAGUAAAAAUUAUAUGUAUUUGUAUUUUUGUAGUAACAGUUUAUAAAAAUACAAAAUACAACUUGCUAUAUUAUGUAAUUAUGAAACUGUUGCUAUGAAACUCAUAAUUAAGGGGAUAAGUAUGUUGUUUCUGAAUUUUGCUCCAUUAAUCAAUUAUAAUAUGGAUUAAUUAGACUAGACACCAUAAGUGAAACAAUCACAUAACUCAACAUCUCAAAGAAAAGAAAAACAAAUUAAAUAAGCUCGACUUCAUAAGAUCCUAAUCAUCCAUCAAAUACUUUAGAAAAUUAAUUUGAGUUUCAAUGAAAUGAUUGAGAUUUCUCCACUUUUAAUCAAAAGUGCAGGUCCAAGUCACCGUAAAUAAAAAUAAUCUUAUUGGGAGCUAGCGUCACCUCCAAACAUAAGUCCUAUAAUGUGUAAAUUCAAAUUUAAUUGAAUCUAAUACGAGUAUCAACCACCAAUCAAAGAAAAAGAAGGCGUAGGGGACAACAACGUAACUAUGGAGUCAUUGUGUCUCAUUAAAAAGAUACUCUAAUAGUUUUGCUACUAUAAUAUACCAUUCUCAAAUUAAAUGGGCAAAAGAGAUUAACACAGUACACAACUAAAUGUAGAUAAUGUAACAUCCAUUGCUGGAAUUUCUGAAAAAUUCUACAAAAAUAUCCAUUGUAACUAGCUUGAUGUGACAAAAAAAAAUAAUUGUCAAUACAUCUCAACGAAAUUUUUAACUGCAUCUGAUAUAUAAAUAAGUCAGUAAAAUAUUAAAAGAAAAAUAUCUCCAUCGAGUAGCAUUCGAAUAUGAUUAUAAAAAGAAUAGAAAUCUCACGAUCUAUAGACAUUGAAUGAUCGAGAGGAAUUCCAUCGUUGUUGUUAUGUUUCAUUAUUAAUCGGACUAUUGCUAUGUUUGAUAAUUGGACGCCGAUAGCAAGGUGAUCCCAAAGGGGUGACCUGAGAACACAAGUACAUUUCGGGUCUAGAAAUUGAAUUGAAAAAGACCAAAAUGCACUUGUGUUCUCAUGUACACUCCUUUGGAGUGCAUCAGUGUUCAUCUUCAUUUACAAAUCCACAUUAUAAUAACGAAAAUACAUAAGACAUAUAUUGGCCUUUUAUUUAUAGUGUUUAUGUGAACAAAUGGGAGCAUCACAAUGUGGUCAUUCUAUCAACACUGAGAGAAUUACAUGUUGUCAUUUCUUUGGAAAAAUAAUAAUUAAUAACCUGAUCUAGAAUAAUAAUGUAAAAUUUGCUUAGUUUAAUAAGAGAAAUUUGACUAAUUUGUGUGUUACAUAAGUUAAUUAUGUCACUUGAAAACAAUAUAAAUCCCGCAGUCUGAAGCUUAAUUACAAAAAAUCUUGAUAUUUGCAUAAUUACGGAAAUAUCAAUUUUGAUUCUAUCGAGAUAUAUAAUUAAUUUCUGAUACAUCCAACGAAGAUAUAUUUUUUUUCUUUGUAAAGAUACAUAAUUAACUCCUGAUACAUUUUCUUGAUUUUGAAUGUGUCGAGAUACAUAAUUAGCUUCCGAUAUAUAAUUAGUUGAAAUUUUUGUAAUUGUUAUGUAAGGGUAUGAAUUUGUGUAAAUAUAAUAAGUUAAGGUAUUUAUUUAUAUUAUUUUUCCUUAUUUCUAUGUAAUUUAUGAGUUCACUAACUAAUUUACCCAAAUCAUUUAUUUAUGUGUCAAUUAAUUUUUGUAGAUUAUUUCAAUUCAGUCUUUUAAAGAUAUUCCAUUUCAGUUCAUCAGUUUUCAUUUUACCAAUGGUUAAUUUUACUAAUUUGCCAUUUAUUCAAUUGAUGAAUGUUAAAAUCAUUUAUGAAAAAUAUUCUUACAUGUCUAUAUCUAUAAUAUAUUAACAGUGUGAAGACCUUUAGAAAAAUGAUUUGAACUUUUUGUGCUUCAUUAAAGCACUCUCCUUUGGACAAAACUGUCUUUUCACUAUUUUCUUUAAUUUAUUAUUUAAUUAUUUUUAUUAUAUUUACUAGACUCCUAAAAUAUAUGAAAAGAAAAUCAAUUAAUAUUUUUCUUUGUAGUGAUCAAUUAGAAAAAUAUUCCUAAAAUAGGAUAGAAAAAUACUCAUAAAAUAGGAUUUUAUUAAGUAAAUAUUUCUAUAAAUAUUGAGAUGCAUGUUAAACGAGAGAAGAAAUUGUUUUACUUAUUGUAAAAAUAUGGUUGAUGCUCAUCUAACUUGAUUCGGUUGCAUGUCUAGAUUGAAGGAUGCUUAAUUUUCUAAACCCCAACUUCUUCACUAUUUUUGUCAACAUAAUAAAAUUCUACGCUUGUAUAUAUAUAUCUUCUUUAUUUUCAUUCAGGUCAUUCUUUUAUGUCAAAAUUUUUGCUCAGACAAAAAUUAUUUUCAUCAAAACUGAAGCUCUGUAAUCACUAUUGUAUUAUUUUGUUGUAUUUACAAGUAGUAGAUGAAUGUAGGGCGGCUUUGAGGAUUUUUUUAGGUAAAGGUUAGGUUUAAUUGUAUUGUUUUUAUAUCUCUAUUUUGAGAUUUUUUUUGUAUAAAGGUAAAUUUUAGUUGUAUUAUUUUGAUAUCUCUGUUGUUGUAUUAUUUGUUAUAGUUUACAGGUGGUAGAUGAGUAUCAGAUGACUUUUGAGAAAAUUUUUGUGUAAAGGUUAAAUUAAAUUAUACUGUUUUGAUGUUUCUAUCAUUUUAUUGUAUUGUUGCAGUUUACAUGAGGUAAAUGAAUUUCGAUCGACUUUGAGAAAUUUUUUGGUAAAGAUUAGGUUUAAUUAAAUAAAUUCUCCAAAAGAUGUUGAAUUUAAUUAUUAUAUUCAUCUUUAUUAUUUAAAAAAAUAUUCUAUUUAGUGUAACAUUUAAAUACAUAAAGUGAGAUACACGCGCGAGGCUCUUACACCAAAACUAGUUAAAUGGAAUAGCACAGGACAUGCGAAUUGAUUUGGAACUGGUAAAUUUGUGUAGGCCAUCAUAGAAUAUUAAUUGCAGAAGUAAAAUAGAAAAUUUUUAAUUAAUUUUAUUUUAAUUAAGUAAAUGAAAAAGUCAUUUGAAACAUAUAUUUAUAAUAAAGUGAUCAACUAAAAUUAGUAUGAGGGGAGCAUAAAGGAUGGUUAUAGAAGUCAUUUUUCCUAUUCAAAUGAUAACGAAUGAACUCCAACAUGGGUUGUUAUGUAGUGAAUGAGGCUGCUCCAUCCUUAAUCAGGGGUUGAGGGUUCGACCCUGGGUAUGAAGAAAACUCUAUUGGGAGCUUUGCCACCUUAAUGGGCCCUGCAACGCACGAUUCAAAUUAGCCGGGGCUCCAAUAAAAAUACCGAACAUUGAAUGAGAAAUAAAAAAAAAAAAACAAGAUAAUGAAUGGACAAGUUUGCCUAAUUAUUUUUUUCCCUAAUCAAAUGGACCCUCGUUCUAAGGCUAUCCUUUUUGUAUUGAAGGAGUGACAUGGGACUCCACCUAGUAAGUGUCAUUUAGAAAUGGUCAAACACAUCAAUAAAUAUCUCAAUUUAGAAUAAUUUUUUAUUUUAUUAAUUUAAAUAAAUGAUGUUUAUUUUAAAUAUUUAAAAUGAUUAUAAAUUGUGUUAUUUUGACACUUUUUAUUAACAUGAUAAGAGUAUUUUAUACUCACUUUUUGACGUGUGACAAUCUUAUUUUAACCUAUUUUUAAUUUAAUAGUAUUAUUUUCUUCUUCCUCAUUUUUUUUUAUUUCACUAUUUUCUAUCAUUUUUUCAAACUCAAACUCCUUUAGUGAUACUUCAUAACUCCCUUUAUCUCUUAGAUAACAAUUUAUUUGAAUGUUUUUUCAUAUCACUUCUAAAAUAUAACCUAAAAAGGGAAGAAAAUCUAAAACUAAAACUAAACAAAAGAUAUUUUCUUUCUUUAAUGGUACUUCUAAUAAUAUAACCCAAAACUAAAUCAGUAAUCAAAUUAACAGUGAUGAGGAAUAGAAGGGCGGGCUUCGCUUUAAUAGGCAAAGAUAGAGAAAAAAAAUUAAUAAAAUUGAGUUCCUAGUUUAAACACGAAGAGUAAAAUAUCCAACCUCCAUUAAUGAAGUACGAGCUUUUCAACCUCGUUUAAUGGAGUUUAAGCUCGAAGAAGAUAUUGGUUGGAUAGGGAAGAUGUCGUGGUGAAAAUUGGUUAAAGUAAGUUUUUUUUUAAUUAUUUGAUCAAAAUAUCACGUGUCAUUAAUUCAUUGGAUACCUUGUCAUGUGUUUUGGCCUUUUUCAAAAAAUAAAAAUAAAAAUUGUGGGUAUAUAUAAGAGAUAAUACAUCAAAACACCCCUAACUAGUAGCCAAAACUUACUUUAGACCCUAAACUAAUCGGGCAAUUAUUCACCCCCCUUAACAACUUUCAAGUGAAUUUUUUUCCACCCUACAAAAAUUAUACCAUUCUCACUACGGAGAGUGAAGUACACACGCCCCACGCCAUUGUCAAAUUACUGCCAUAUCAGUGUCAUGUCAUUGCCACGUAAGAAAUUGUAAUUGUUUUAAAAAAAUAAUCCAAUACACAUAUUAUUUUUAUAUUUUUUUUUUAAAAAAGCAAAAAAUAUAUUUGUACUUUAUAUAUAUAUAUAAUUAUUUUUAAUAUAUAUAUAUAAAAAUUUCCCCUAUUUCUUUUUUUUCUCNNNNNNNNNNNNNNNNNNNNNNNNCGGCCCGUUCCUCCUCCUUCGAUUCUUUAACAGCCCCCCAGCCCCUAUUUCUCUUCCUCCUUUAAUUUCUUUUUCACCAUUAACACCAAUAACUUGAUUCGAAUUUAACAAAAAUUUGAUAAAUAACUUGCUAAUGUAGAUUAAGCCAUUACAAAGGUCUAAAUAAACUCAUCCACAAUAAUUCCAGAUAAUUCCAAAGGUCUAAAUAAAAAUAAUUCAAUUACAAUGGUCUAAAUAAAAAUAUUAUUAAAAUAAUAAAUAAGGACAAAACUAAUAAAUAUAAGAAAAAAGUAAUAUGCAUGUGUAACCAUAUUAUUGCAUUAUAAAAAUGAGAAAAAAACUAAUAAAUAGAAGGAAAAAAUAAUAUGCAUGUGUAACCAUUUUAUUGCAUGCUAAAAUUAUCGAAAUAUCCUUGAUAUUCAUUUAAUAAGGAACAAAAAAAAUAUUUAUAAAAAAAUACUACCAUGUAUAAUUUAAUUACAAAGAUCUAAAUCAAAAUAUUAUUAAAACAAUACAUGAAGACAAAACUAAUAAAUAUAAGGAAAAAAAAAUAUGCAUGUGUAACCAUUUUAUUGCACCAUAAAAAUGAGGACAAAAUUAAUAAAUAAAUAAAAAUCAUAUGCAUAUGUACCUAUUUUAUUUACUACUAUAUAUAAGUGAAGUUUGGAGUGACUAAAAUUACUGAAAUACCCUUGAUAGUCACCACAACCUUCACGUAUAUAUAUCGAAAAAUCCUUGGUAGUCAUUUAAUAAGGAACAAAAAGAUAUUUAUAAAAAUAUAUUACCAUGUAUAAUUCAAUUACAAAGGUAUAAUAAAAACAUUAUUUAAAUAAUACAUGAGGACAAAACUAAUAAAUAUAAGAAAAAAGAAAUAUGCAUAUGUAACUAUUUUAUUGCAUCAUAAAAAUAAGGACAAAACUAAUAAAUAUAAGAAAAAAAUCAUAUGCAUGUGUAACCAUUUUAUUUACUACUAUAUAGAAGUAAUAGUUAGGGUGACUAAAAUUGUCGAAAUACCGUUGAUAGUCACCACAACCUUCACUUACAUAUAGUAAGUAAAAAAUUAAUAAUAUAAUUAUAAUAAUAAAUAGAAUAGAAUAGAAAUAGAAAUAAUAAUAGUAAUAGUAAUAUUCUACCACUAAUAAAGUAAAAAUUUGAUACUAUUAAAAGACAAAUUAGUAGUAUUACCAAACUUUUACUUAAAUAUUAGUAGGAAAAAAUAAUAAUAGUAGUAAUAGUAAUAGUAAAAAAAAAGUAAUAAUAAUAGUAGUAGUAGUAGUAGUAGUAAUAGUAAUAGUAAAAAAAUCAAUAAUAAAAUAAAUAAAUAAUAAUAAUAAUAGUAGUAGUAGUAAUAGUAAUAGUAAUUAAAAAAAUAAAAUAAUAGCAAGUAGGCACUAAAAGACAAAAUAUUAGUACCAAAACUCUUCAUUUAUAUAUAAGAGUAAAAAGAAUAAGAAUAAGAACAAUAAAUAGAAAAAUAAUAAUAACUAAAAAUUACAUAUAUACAUAAGGUAACUUUACCUUAUUACAUAAAAUCCCAUAUUGGAAAAGAAAUUACAAGAAUCCCAAAGUAAUGACUUAAAUCCCUUAAGUUCACCCUUUCUCUCUCAUCCCCCUCAUACAUAUCAAAAUACCAUAUUUUGCUCUUAUUUUAGUGCACUGAUUUUUGCUCCAUAUAUAUGCUCCUUUAUUUACGCCUACAAUCAAGCUAAUGUAAUAUUAAUACUCUCUCACCCUCUCCUAUUUGCGUCACUUUUAUAAUUGAAAUUGAAGAUGUACACUUUCAAUUCACGUAAUAAAGGAAAUUGAAUCAUUCUUUUUCCUUAUUAUCGUGUAGCCAAUGUAAUGUUACAAUAACACUAAUUUUUUCUUAAAAUUAUUAUAAUCUUGUAGAUAAUUAAUGUAAUUAAGAAGUUCUUAUUACAUUUAAGAGGCAUUUUAUGUAUUAUUUGGUAUUAUAUAAUUAAAAAGUAUUAAUAUCAUAUAAGGCUACACCUUAUGAUAAGGAUACAGAAGUAUACAUGUUUAAUGUUAAUACUUAAAUAUAUAGUGUGACAUUAUACAUUAUUACAGAUUAUUUUUUAAAUGUAUAAUAUUCCCACAUACAUGCGCAACUGUUGUUUUCUUUUAAAUUCCAACUUACCGUUAUUUGCAUUGAUUCAAUAAAUACAUCACAUAUUGAAUAAUAAAACUGAAUAUAUCAACUGUAUAAUAUAUAUUAUUCUCAUUUAACUAUUUUGUUAACUGAUGUUUAUUUUUUAAUGAAUUUUAAAUUAUUUAUAAUAAAUUUAUAUGAUUUUGUGAAUGAAAGAUAAUUUCUUUCGUCAAAACAUACUUUGGAAAUAAAUUUUCUAGGAGUUUAAUGGAUCAUAUUAGUGUGAACACAAAUAAUUCAUACGUAUUAAUAUUACUCCUACUAAAGUAAAGGAAAGAGAAUGAUAAACAAAUACUUUCACUAGAUUUUAUAUUAUUUUAUUUUGUUGUUAAAUAAUUUUUAAAAAGGUUUUAAUUGUUUAUGUAAUUUAUUACUAUUAAAAAUAGUAUAAGAAGGAAAUAAUAAGACUUUAUUAUCUGUUAAAAUGAAUGAAAAAACAUAAAAUAUUGUAAAUGAGAACAAUUAAUAGAAUGUUUAAGAUUUUUUUUGAAUUUAAAUUUCAGUUACUAUAUUUAAUCAUACAUCACAUAAUCAUAAGUAAUUAACUGCGUUAAUUAAAGUAGAGAAAGAUAGUAUCUGAUUUUUCUUUCCAUAAAUAUAGGCAAAUCUAUUUUAUCAUACAUUACAACAAUGUAUAAGGGUCUAUCUAAUGUAUAAGUAUAUUUUAUAAAUUAGGGAGAGAGAAAGCCUAACGGGAUUAUAUUUAAAUACUUUCACUAUAGAAGGGAUUUAUGUGGUUUAUACUAAUAAUAAUAAUAAGGGGAUCUUUCAAAAAUAGCAAUAUUUUGCUAUAAAACCCAUCUUUCAUAGCCACAUUUUACAUAAUUACCAUUUAUAACCGUUGUAUUCGAUUUACGACCGUUGUAUUCAGUUUUACAGAUAGCAUGUAUUCAAAUAAAAUAUGAAUAUAGUCCCUAUUUAGCCGCUAUAUUCGAUUCACAGUUGUUGUAUUCACUUUAAAUUAGUGAUUUGUAUUCAUAAAAACAUAAAUACACUACAUAUUUGGUCUCGCAAAAAACACUAUCAUUUUUUUCCUUUUUCAUUUUCUUAUAUUUUUUCUUUUGCCGUGUUUUUCUCGUUUUUUCUUCUUCUUUUUCUUCUUUUUCUAUUUUUUUCAUUUUUAUUUUUUUCUUUUUAUUUUUUUCUCUCUUCUAUCUCUAACUUCCAUUUCUCUUUCUUUUUUAAUUUUUUAUUUUAUUUUUUUGUACUUAUUUUCUUUAUCAUUUUUUGUUCUAUUUUAUAUUUUUUAUAUUUUCAAAAAAUAUGACUACUCGAGCACAAGUCAUGGAUGAUAACGUAAAUACAAUGAUUAUUUAUCAUAUUUAUUGAUACGAGUACGAUCACAUAGAUGGACUUAUGAGGCCGUACGUUAGACCCGAGGCUUGGUGUGUGCAAUAAAGUGCAAAGGAGCACAUAAAUGGACACCAAAACAGUCCACUACAUACACUAAAUGGGCCAAAUCAGUCCACUACAUAUACUAGAAGGGUGCCCCUUCACUAAGGGGCCUUUUGGUCAUUUUACCUAUUAUUUGUAAUACACUAUAAAUAGAAUAAUGUAGGGUUUCAUUAGGGAGAUUUUGAUGAAUAUUGUGAGUUUAUAACACUGGAAACAUUUCCUCUCUAAGGAGAGAAGACCACCAACCCGAAAUUGUAAUUAGAAAAAUCAACUUGACUGUGGAAUCGCUCGUGUUGGAUUCAAGCUUGGAAACGUUGGAUGCUUGGGAGAUCGGGGUCACUCUUGUGCCAACAUAAGAGUUAGGUAUUUGAUGUGUGUGAUGUUAAAGGUCCAAGAGUGGAAUAGGUUUUUGGGUUGUUAAUAUUAUACCUUUAAUUUAUCUAACUAUCUAUCCUUUUGUUUCUUUGUAAUCGUGUAGUAGGGUUGAUGUUGUAACCGUGUGUUUGUGUUGUUAAUGUGGAAUCUGAAAUUAGUCUGUUGUCCAUCUUGUUCUUGUUGUGUUUCUACUAUUUUGGUGUUAUUAUGCCAUUGUGUCUUGUUUUCUUCUUGUUGGUAGCGAAUCUGAGAGGGGUCACCAAAAGAGGUCCUCUAUUUCUUGGCUAGUGGACUGAUUUCGGUGUUUGUUUCGUGUUUCCUUUGUCUUUUGUGUAUCAUUUGGUAUCAAAGCAUGGCUUGAUCUUGUUCCUACAAUAUCAAUCUUGGGCUUGCUUGAUAGAAAAUUUUAAAAAAAAGUGUUACAAAACUGAAAAAUAAAAAAGAAGCACAUCUUUCCAUUUUGUGUUCUUGGCCGAAAUUGUGUUAUUGUUGUGUCUUAACCGAGAUUUUUACUUGUUUUGUUGUUUCUAGUGUUAGUUUUCUUCAUUAUCUCUAACACUCUUGAGUCUAAAUCUAAGUUUGAGCUUACAUUGUUGGUGUUAUUUUCGUGAACAUAAGGCGUGGCCGAAUUGUUGUUGAAACAUUGUUGUGGUGGACUGUUUUGGCCUUGUGGUCUUCAUCUUGUUGUUGUUCUAAGCUUGGCCACGUGAUAUUGUUGUUCAUUGGUGGCCUAAGAACCAUUUUGUUGAAAUUGUAGUUGUCUUGGCCAAGUGUUGAAGAUAUUGUAUUGUGAAAAUUGAAAGUUGGCCGUGUGAAAAUUGUGGUAUUUUUGGAGAUUGUUGUUGGUUGUUCUUGGUGAUUGUUGAUGUUGUUCUUGAAGUUCUUCACAACCUUCAUAGCUUGUUAAUAUAAAGUGAACAUUAGAUCUAUAAAGGUAAAGGAAAAGGGGUGAAGCUUUGAUAGUCUUGAAAGACUUCCCAUCACUCAUCAAAUAGUCAAUCACAUAUCAACCACUUUCCAACAACUUUCCAUAAAACAAGAGUCCAUGUUGUAAGGAGAAGUACAAGAAAGUCAAAGUCUUGAAAACUUGACUUUGAAAAGGCUCCAAGACUUGUUUGAAUUUCCCUCCUUAAAACAAAUUCCACCAAUUCCUAAAUUGUAAAUUGAUCAAGACUUAAAAUUGGAUAACAACAAAAAAAAAUUGUUAGAAACUGCAACCAAUUACGUGCUUCCACGUCAUCAUUUUUACUGUUCACGCAACAUAUUUAAGCUCAAAUUUCAGAUUUCUUAGUUUCUUUUUGUUGUUCCUUAGUUUCAAUUUCGUUGGUUCCAAUACUAAUUGACAAACUAGUACUCAUCUACUAGAUUGUUAGUUAGUCUUUGUGUUCGUUCAUUCGUGUUAAACGUUUGUUGUGUGCUUUUCUCUUUUGUGAAUUCGUUCUAUCUUGUUGGUUCAAGUCCGUAAAUAAUUUUUUUGAGCCAACUCAAACGAAAAUCCAUUCUGGCAAAGAGUAGGCUCGACCCUCAAUCACUCACGAAGUACAAGCCAGCUUUCAACACUUGUGAAACCAAGUGUGAGGUAAAAAUCGAGAGUGAGAGUGUGGUGAGGCAUUUUUGAGCUAACAAGUUUGUUGUUUUGUUGUUCGUUGUUUUUUUUUAGGUACCAUGGAUGCCACCAAUCUUGAUGCCACGUUUGACCGUAUCACUAACAAUAUUGAAGACAUGAAAAGGCACGUUGAAAGGCUACGCCAAUUGGUAUCCACACUUAUCCCAACAAAUCCAAAACUUAAGGUCCAAACACCUUGCAGUGAGAGCUUCCCGAAGGAAGUUACUGCCCAAACUUGUGAAGGACUUUCACACUGAGGUAAAGAUGAACAUACUCAUGAACGUCAAGGAAAAAUAGAUAACUCUUAUACUUUGGUACAUGUGAAUGAUGAACAUGUGACUAAUAAAUCGUUGAGUGUGAGUAGUAGCUUACCUACAUAUGAGUAUAUUGAUUCCUUACCACUUGUGGAUGAUGUACAUGUAUUGCGAGUGAAUAUACUAGUUGUUCCUAUAGAUGACCGAGUCAACUCUUCUAGUAUGAUCGAUUUGUGUCUACCUAGUGUUGAAGCUAUUGUGUUGAAUGAAAGUACAUCGUCAUGUGAAAAUUGUGUUGAUCAACUUGUGUGUAAAACUUGUCCACCACUUGAGAAUAUGUGUGAUCAACUUGUGUGUAAAACUUGUCAAGUGAGUGAAGAAUUUGAAAAUGUUGGUCAAGGACAAAGGAGUGAACCUGUGACCCUAUGUUGUUGUAAAGAUUCUAAUGUUUGCUUGGCUCAUAGGGUUAAUCAUGUGCUUGACAUAUCUUUGAAAAAUAAUUUUGCUUGCACUACUUUGCAUGACAUCCCACCCGUGCUUGAUAAAUAUGGCGACUUAAAUUGUGAUCCCUUUAAUGUUAAUGGUGGUUUGUGUCUACUCGAGGACCGUAGGGCAAAUGUGUCAUUGUCUCUUUGGGGUGUUGCUCAUAUCCGUGCAUCCAUGUUUGACACACUUGUAUUUAAGUUGUGUGAAUCACAACUUGAGGAUACCAAGUUAUAUUCUUAUUUGUGGAAGGGUCUAAGGAUGUUAAAAACUUCUUGUCACCUUCAUAGGGUUGGACAAGUUGAAGUAUCUUGUGGGACUCUUGGGAUCGUGCUUCACAUCAUUUGUAGAGGGAAACCGAGUUUUUGGGCAAACUAUUUGCCUUGGAUUGGAUUGUUGCAUGGUAGUUUCCUUAUUCUCCCUAUUGGUAUGACUCCCUUGAUGGAAUGUCUUUCCUCGAUAAGUGGUUGGAAGGAGAGAGGUCCUACGUGCUUGCAGUGUCCCUUUCUCUAAUUGUGUGUUCCUACUUGUGAAUACAUCUUAGACGAGAAUUGUGUCUUUGGUGCCUUUCUACACUACCUAUAUGCAUAUGAUAAUAUUCAUGAUGUUGUUGGAUAUACAUCGUAUGAGAGGCGUAGUCUCGGUUUUUGUCCCUUAAUUCUUGAUGUUCAUCUGAGCCCUUUCGUUUGUGAUUUUAUACAAAAGCUUUUCACAAUUAACACAAAGGAUCCUUGGUAGUUCUUCAAGUGUGUACCACCGUGGCAUGAUAGUGCUAAUUGUUUAUUUUGCUAACCCUAACCCUCAUGCCAUGGGGAUGUGUACUUGUUUGUUUCCUAUUUGAUUUUGUAAGGUACGGAUUUGAGGUUGAAUCCUUUUAAAGAAGGGGAGGAUGAUACGAGUACGAUCACAUAGAUGGACUUAUGAGGGUGUACGUUAGACCCGAGGCUUGGUGUGUGCAAUGAAGUUCAAAGGAGCACCUAAAUAGACACCAAAAUAGUCCACUACAUACACUAAAUGGGCCAAAUCAGUCCACUACAUAUACUAGAAGGGUACCCCAAUAUAAAUAAAAUAAUGUAGGGUUUCAUUAGGGAGAUUUUGAUGAAUAUUAUGAGUUUAUAACACUUGAAACAUUUCCUCUCUAAGGAGAGAAGACCACCAACCCAAAAUUGUAAUUAGGGAAAUCAACUUGAGUGUGAAAUCGCUCGUGUUGGAUUCAAGCUUGGAAACGUUGAAUGCUUGGGAGAUCGGGGUCACUCUUGUGCCAACGUAAGAGUUAGGUAUUUGAUGUGUGUGAUGUUAAAGGUCCAAGAGUGGAAUAGGCUUUUGGGUUGUUAAUAUUAUACCUUCAAUUUGUCUAACUAUCUAUCCUUUUAUUUCUUUGUAAUCGUGUAGUAGGGUUGAUGUUGUAACCGUGCGUUUGUGUUGUUAAUGUGGAAUCCAAAAUUAGUCUAUUGUUCAUCUUGUUCUUGUUGUGUUGCUACUGUUUUGGUGUUAUUACGCCAUUGUGCCUUGUUUUCUUCUUGUUGGUAGCGAAUCUGAGAGGGGUCACCAAAAGAGGUCCUCUGUUUCUUGGCUAGUGGACUGAUUUUGGUGUUUGUUUCGUGUUUCUCUUAUCUUUCGUGUAUCAUUUAUAGUCACACCAUCAUUUAUAUUUUUGUAUUCAUUGAUACAAUUGCAUUUGUAUUUAUAUUUAUAUUUUAAAGUUCACGUUUGUAUUUGUAUUCUGUAGUUCGCAUUAUAUUUGUAUUUUAUAGUUUGCACAUGUAUUUGUAUUUGUUAGUUCGCACCAUCAUUUAUAUUUUAUAUAGUUCACACUUGUAAAUUAAAAUUAUUUUGUAUUUGUACUUUAUAAUUGGCUGUAUAUUAUAUUGGAUUAUAUUUGUAUUGUGGUUUUAUUGUGUUCGCAUAUGUAGAUUAUAUUUGUAUUUGUAUUCUAUUUUCGUCGAUGUUUUUUUAUUUCUAGAGAAUUAUUUUGUAUUUGUAUUUAUAAGUUUAUUGCAUAUGUAUUUAGCCGUGACUAUGUACAAUUUGUAUUCUAUUUUCAUCGAUGUAUUUGUAUUUUUAAAGAAUUAUUUUAUAUUUGUAUUUAUAAGUUGAUCGUAUUUGUAUUUGUAAUUUCAUUUGUUUGUAUUUGAAUUAGUAGUUGACAACAUCAUUUGUAUCUUUAAACAUUAGAAAAAAAUUGUUAUUUUUCUUUCUAUGAAGACUUGUAUUUACAUUUAUUGAUACAAUUUGCAUCAUAAUAAAAAUAAAAAUAAUAAAUUAUACAAAUAUAAAUGUUACAUCUGUAUCAAUGACACAUGUUUAUACAACUUGAACUAUAUGCAUACAAAAUAAUACUUGUUUAUAUACAAAUAUAAAUGAUAAAUUUAAAAUACGAAAUAAAAUGAUAUAUUUGCAUUGAAAGACAAAUUGCAUAUUUAUGUAUUUUAGUCUUAAGCAAAUACAAUUAAUCAAUAUACUUAUUUAUAUACAAAUACUAAUGAUAAAUUCUACAUAAUCACAACUACAAAUAAUAAAUUUAUUUAAAAUACAUAAUAUGAUACAAAUAAAUAUAAAAUAUAAAAUAUAACAACAAAUGAAAAAAAAAAAAAAAAAAGGAGAAAAAAUGACCAAAAAAAUAAAAAAGAACGAAAAAAGAAUCAAAGAAAAUGCAAAGAAAAAAAAUUGCAAAAAAAAAAAAGAAAUAUAGAAAAGAUGAAAAAAUAGAAAGAAAAUAUGAUUUAGGCUACAAUUAUGGUUGUGCUAGCGUGUAACUGUAAGGCUACAAAAUGUAAUUAAUGUAAAGUAUAGUAAGGGUUUAAGCUACAAUAGGUAAUUAUGGUGAAAUAGAGUUACGAGUGGUAAUUACAGCCCACCAGGGGCUAUUACGGAUAAUUUUUCCUAAUAAUAAUAGUAGUAAUGGUAAUAGUACAAAAAAAUUAUAACAGUAAUAGUAGUAAUAUUAUUUGUAGUAGUAUCAAUAAUAAUAAUAAUAAUAAUAAAUGAAGGAUUGGUGUACUACACAAAAAGACAAAAUAGUAAUAAUAAUAGCAAUAGCAUAUAUAUAUAUAUAUAUAUACUUAUAAAUAAAGGAUUGGUGUACUAUAUAAAGAGAUAAAAUAGUAGUACACCCAUUUUCAUUUAUAUUACAUAUUACAUACAUAUAUAUAAGUGGUGAUAACCAGGAGGACGAUAUGCCUGCUUCAGCUGCUUCACCCAUGAUUUUACUAUAUUAUUUUUAAUUAAUUAUUAUAAGUCAUUUAUAAAUUUUAAAAUUAAUAUUAUUUAAUUAAAAAAAAGUAAAUUAAAUAUUUAUGAUAUUCCUGCUUCAACUUUGAUUUUACUAUAUUAUCCCUAAUUAAUUAUUAUAAAUUAUUUGCGUGUUAAAAAAUUAAAAAAUUUUAAUAAAAAUUUUGAAAUAGACAUUUACGACAUGACAGUUUCAACUGCUUCAACCGUGAUUUUACUGUAUCAUUCAUCCGUGAUUUUAUUAUAUCAUCCCUAAUUAAUUAUUACAGUUAGUCCAGUCAGUUCUCUUUGGAAUACAAGCGUAUUGGUCUCAGAUCUUCCACAUCCCCUCAAAGGUUAUUAAAGUUAUUGAUGCAUAUUGCAGAAGUUAUAUUUGGUCGGCCACAAAAGAGCUUUGGUGGCCUGGGAUAAAGUGUUUGUGCCUGUAUCUAUUGGAGGUCUUAACAUCACCAAGUGGAACAAAGCUGCCCUGGCUAAAACAUGUUGGGAUUUGGUUCAUAAAAGUGAUAAGCUAUAGAUCAAAUGGAUCCAUAGCCACUACGUCAAUCCUAAUCAGGUUGAAAAUACACCUAUACCUAAACAGGCUUCAUGGGUAGUAAGGAAGAUUAUUGAAGUAAGAAGGCACUUAGUUCAGACUCGACUCUAUGACAUCCAAAGUUUCCUCAAUAUCAAAACUAUAUACCUCAAGUUAUUAGGAGAGGGGAAUAGAAUUCAAUGGAAGAAUUUGAUGCUAGCAAACCAAGCUAGACCAAAAGCUAAAUUUAUUUUAUGGCUGCAACUUCAGGACAGAUUACUGACAACUAAGAGACUGGUCAAAUGGAGAAUGAAUGUAGAUCUUCCCUGCAAGUUAUGCACUGCAUGAUUGGAACCUCGAGACCACUUGUUUGUGCAGUGUGCCGAUGCUCAGAGCUUAUGGCGUAAACUACUCUACUGGUUAAAGAAAAGCUAUGUUGAUGCUACAAAUUGGAAGGAACACAAUGCAUGGGUGAUAAAAAAUGCUAAAGGCAAAUCAAAACUGCCCACAUUUUCAAAAUGAUUUACACAGAAUAUGUUUAUGCAAUUUGGAUGGAAAGAAAUUUAAGAACCUUUGAAGGCCGAAGCAGACAAUGGCAAUGCCUCGCUAAAGAGAUAGCCUACACAUGUUAAGUGAGAGCUUUACUGGGAGUUAGUUCUAAAUUACAAGAGUUGAAAUUUUAGUAGCUAUUAUGUUGUUGAUUUUCCAUCUGAUUUCUCUUGUAAUUUUUUAGUUUUCUUUUAUUGGAUUGUAAUCCUGAGGUAGGAUUACUAUGGAGUUGUAAUUUGCUACUUGGUAAUGAAUGCAAUCGUUAGUUACCAAAAAAAAAAAAAAAUAUUACAGGUCAUUUAUGCAUUUCAAAAUUACUAUUAUUUAAUUAAAAACAGUAAAUUAAAUAUUUAUGUCAUGCCUACUUCAACCGUGAUUUUACUAUAUUAUCGCUGAUUAAUUACGACAAAUCAUUUACGUAUUAAAAAAAUUUAAAAUAUUUAAUAAACAUUUAUGGCAUGAGAGCUUCAGUUGCUUCAACCGUAAUUUUACUAUAUCAUUCAUAAUUAAUUAUUAUAUAAGUCGUUUAAGUAUUAAAAUGUUAAUAAUAUUUAAUAAAAAAUAAAAUAGACAUAAAAUAAUAAAUUAUUUUUUGAUGUUCUUUAUAAGUCAUUUAAGUAUACAAAUUUAAUAAUAUUUAAUAUAAAGGAUAAAAUAGGUAUGAAAUGAUAAAUUAUUUUUUGAUGUUUUCAAUUAACUUGACGUCUUAUAUGGGAUCACUUUAAAAAAAUUUCACAAGUAUUUGUUAUGAUAAUUUUACUAUGUCACUUCUAAUUAGUAGAAUAAAAAAAUAUUACAAAUCACAAUAAUUAAAAAUUUAAAUUAUUUAAAAAAAUAUAAUUGAUAUCAAUGCCACAAAAGUUUGAAUAACUUAAAAUAUUAUUAUAUAAAUUUUAUAAAUCUAAAUAUAAUAAUAUAUGUAUAACUUAGAAUUUAUCAACCAAAUUAAUAAAGAUUUUGAUUCAAUGAUAAAAUUAUAUAUGACGUAAAAUUUUUAAGGAUCAAUAUUGAAUCGUGCAUCGCACGGCCUAAGCUCACUAAUAUAAGAGAUAAGAGUAAUAUAAGCGUAUAGUGCACUAAAUUAAUACAUUAAAUAUUAUUUUUAUAAAUUUUGAUCUUGCUCGUAUAUUUUGUGGCGACGGUAUGAUAUAUUUUGCCGACAAAAUUUAAAUUAUUUUUUUUAAUUCUGCUUUCGGCCUGUGUCAUCUCAAGUUCCUUUGUCACCAUCAUAACAUUUUCUGAUGUGCCAUGCUAAUGAGGAUAUUCGAUAUGGAAUGAAAUAAAUAAAAAUAUUUUAUUAUAUUAUUUUUUCAUCUUUAAAUUAGCUUAUACAUCAAAUUAAAUAUAAAAUAAAAGUUAAUCUCAAUUUUUGUUUAGAAAUUGUUAUCCUUAUGCCACUUACCAAAUGAAAAAUCUACAUGUAAUAGUUUAACUAUGAUGUUUAUAUACAAUUCAAUUCAUUAUCAUUUGAACAAAAUAAAUCUUGACUUACCUCAAUUUCAAACUUCAAAAUAAUAUUACCAUAUGUCAAUAUCCUGUAACCCAUUAAUAUAUCUAUAAUCUAUAUCUAUAUUUAUAAUCUAUAAUUUAUAUCUAUAUAAUAUAUUAAAAAUAUGAAGAUUAUUAGAAAAGUGAUUUAAACUUUUUAUCCAUCAUUAAAUAACCCUACAAAACUGUCUUUUCAUUAUUUUUUAAAUUUAUUAUUUAAUUUUUUUACUAUAUUAAGUAGACUUCCUAAAAUAUAUGAGACUCCUAAAAUAUAUGGUAAGAGAAUUAAUUAAUAUUUUUCUUUCUACUAGACUUUCUAAAAUAUAUGGUAAGAGAAUUAAUUAAUAUUUUAUUUCUACUUUCAAUUAGAAAAAUACUUCUAAAAUAAGACUCUAUUGAGGAAAUACUUCUAAAAAUAUUGAGAUGUACGUUAAACUAGAGAACAAAUUGAUUUGUCUAUUUGGAGAAUAUGAUUGAUAUUCAUCUAACUUGAUUCGAUUGCAUAUCUAGAUUGAUGGAUGCUUGAUUUUCUAACCCUCAACUUCUUCACUGUUUUUGUCAGCAUAAUAGAUAAAUAUCGGUUUACUUUGACAAUUUUUUGAUGUAAAAGUUAGGUUUAAUUGUAUUGUUUUGAUAUCUUUAUUAUCUUAUUGUUUUAUUUUAAUUUAUAGAUGCUAGAUGAAUGUGGGUCGACUUUGAAUUUUUUUUUAGGUAAAGGUUAGGUUUAAUUCUAUUAUCGUAAUAUGUGUAUUAGUUUGUUAUUUUGUGGUAGUUUACAGUUCGUAGAUGAAUCUCGAUUGGCUUGGAGAAAUUUUUGGGUGUAAAAUUUAAGUUUAAUUGAAUUGUUUUGAUAUCACUUUUAUCAUAUUAUUUUGUUGCAGUUUACAACGGAUAGAUAAAUGUUGAUCGACUUUGAGGGUUUUUUUUAUAUAAAGGUUAGGUUUAGUUGUAUUAUUUUGAUAUCUAUAUUAUCGUAUUAUUUUGUUAUUGUUUACGCGUGGUAGAUGAGUGUCGAACGACUUUGAAAAAAAAAUUGUGUGUAAAGAUUAGAUUAAAUUGUAUUAUUUUGAUGUCUCUAUCAUUGUAUUAUUUUGUUGCAAUUUACGGAUGAUAGAUGAAUAUCGGUCGACUUUUAAAAAUAAUUUUGGUAAAGAUUAGGUUUAAUAAAUAAAUUUUUCAUCUUUACAUACACAAAAGAUAUUAAAUUUACUUGUUAUAUCCAUAAAACAAAUAUCCUAUUUAAUGUAAUGUUUGAACUCAUUAAAGUAAGUUACACACGCAAGGCGCAAGACAUCCCUCAACUUGUUUGAUUUUUUUAAAAAAACACCUAAAUUAUACGGGCAACCUAUUACCCCACGGAACUAAUUUCAACUACAAUAAAUACACCACUUUGAUGCAUUUUCAGAGCAAGUGUAGUGUCAACAGGUAGGGGUACGUGAAUGGUUAAAUUCUACCCCCAAACCAGUAUAAAACUACCACGUGGCAUUAAAUUAUACCAUAAAUCCAUAUAAAGCUGCCACAUGGCAUUAUCAAUAAAAAAAAUUCUUCUUUUCUCUACAACCUCAAAACUUUCAUUAAUAAUAUCAAAACCUCCGUUGAUAGGAACUCAUCUUCUCCAAACAAGAAGAAAGAAAGAAUUCAUUAAUUUUCAACUACAACUUGAUCUCAAUAUCUACUUCAGACAAAACAACAAAUGAAAAAAAGAUAGUGCAAAUGCCUAACUUAAACACAAUCAAAAUUGAAAACAAAGUGUAUAUAUGAACACCAAAUUGAAGAAAAAUAAAAGAAAACUUGAUAUAUAAACGAAGCAAAUUCUUAACUAAAAUUCAUUAUGUUAAGAAAUUAACAUCACUUUCUACUUCUAAAAUACGAUAACAAAUCAGAACAUAUAAAUAUGCCGGAGAAGUGGAGAUAUAGAAUUUUUUUUUUGAAAUACACAAAUCAAAAAGUUUGAAUUGAAAAACACAAGCAGUAAAAUACCAAAAAAAAAAAGGGAAGAGUGGGUUGUGGAAUUCACCGGAAUGAUGAGAUUUGUGGGGGAAAGAAAAGAGAGUGGAAAGUGAAAUGAAUUAAAAUAUGAAAAAAUUGAGUUUUUACCCGAUCUUUUAUCAGACAAGUAGAAAAAAGUGAUAAACAGGAGGUGAGACACACACUCCUAACAUGAGAAUACAACUGAAGUAAAAAUUGUGUAUCUGUUAUCGUUGGAAUUGAUUUUGGGACGUAAUAGAUCACCUGUAUAAUUUAAGUAUUUUUUUGAAAAAGUUGGACAAGUUGAAAGGUGACUUUAUGUCUUUUCUCUAUGAAAUUUUAUGCUAAACCCUUCUCCAUUAAAAUUGAUCUCAUUAUGUAGUAGUAUGGGUCUGGACCUUGAAUUAAAAGGGAAAAAUAAUUUUCUCAAUUAACUGAGGGUCUCUCAAGUUUUAAAAAUUAGAUAAAAGGGACAAAAAAAAAUUAAAUUUUUUUUAAAACAUUUUCGCUUUAACAACUAAAAAGGUUGUUUCAACAACUAUAAAAAUUGUCUCAAUAACUAUAAAAAUUGUUCGACAACUUUGAUAGUUGUUGAGAUAACUAAUACAGUUGUCGAACAACUGUUCAAGUUAUUUAAGCAACUCUAUUUAUUUAACUUAAUAAUAUUAUGAGACUCAUCUAUCUCCUUUUUAAUUAAAAACUUAGGAGGACCUUUCGACUCAUUUUUCUCGUAUGGGUCCUAUUAAUAGUAAGAAUCCAAAGUUUGAAUUAGGUGGAAAAGUAAUUUGGGAGUAGCUGCAGACUUGAAGUAUAGUGGAUAGACAAUAAAUUACCUUUAAUGAACAUUAAAAUCAAAAGACUUACCUAGAGCCUUUGCUUGACUGUUGACUCUCAUUAAAAAUCUUACGAAAAAUACUCUGCGACGAAUAUGAUAGAAAUUCUUUAAAAUUUGAGAUGUAUCAAGUAGGCAUAGCCAUCCAGACAAAAUUUUUAUUAAGGAGUUCAAAAUUUUAAAAAGUCAACAUAUAAAAAUGUUAUAGUGGGAUUUGGAUUUAGUCGUCAAUAUUCUUUUGAUUUUAUUUUUAUUUUUAAUUAUUAUUUUUAAUAAAUUAAGAAGAGAUUUUUUUUUGGUGUGUUUCAUCUUUAACAUUAAUUACUUAUUUUUUAUAUUAUUUUUUAAUAUCUACUUUACUAAACAUUAAUAAAUAGGGAUAUUAAUCAAGAUAAGAUAAUUUUUUUUUUAUCCUUAGUAUUAGUUAUUUUUUGUUCAAAUUAAAAUAUAAACAUUAUUUAAUAUGGGUACUAUGGUAAAGUAGUCAUGUCAUUAAUUAUUUUUUUUAAUCAAUGUGUAAUAUUAAAUUGAGAUAAGUAAAAUAAAGUAUUAUACAAUCAUUAUUUUCUUAAUAAAUAUGACAAACGAAAGUAUCACAAAUAAAUUCUAAAAAAAAAACUAUAUACAUAAAAAAAAAAUAAAAGAUAUUUUGAUCAUUUACAAACAACUUUCUAUCCCACUCUUAUAAUACUAUAUAAUGGCAGCCCGUGCUAGCAUGAGUUCAAUAUAUGUUACUUUUUAAUCUCAAUUUAUGUGACAUAAAUAGAAUUUAAAUAAUCAAUCAUUCAAAUAAUUUAAGUUUUUAAUUAGUAUGAUUUAUAAUAUUUUUUCUUCUAUUUCAAUUUAAGUGACACUGAUGUAAUUUUUAGAGUCAACUAAAUAUUUUAAAUUUUUUAAAUUUUGUAAGUUGUUAAUUAUGCGAUUUGUAAUUUUUUACAUGUUUUUCAAUAAGAUAUGAAUACACUCCCCGUCUCAAUUUAUAUGACACAGAUAAAAUUUCAACAAUCAAUUAACCUUUUUUUAUAUUUUUUAUUAAGUUCUUAAUUAUUGUGAUUUGCAAUAUUUUUAAUCUCAUUUUUAAAUAAUAUAUAUAUCACUUUUCAGCUGUCCCAUCCAAAUUUAUGAGUAUUAAUAUAAUUUCGAUAGUCAAUCAAAUUUUUUAUGUUUAUAUAUCAUUUGGUAUCUAUUUUAUCUUUCUUUUUUUUUUUUAUGAAAUAUUAUUAAAUUUUUAAUACUUAGAUGAUCAUAAUAAUUAAUUAGGAGUGAUAUAGUAAAAGUACGAUUGAAGUAGCUGAAGCAGAUAUGUUAUAAAUGUCUAUUUUACUUUUUUUAUUAAAUAUUAUUACUUUUUUAAUACGUAAAUGACUUAUAGUAGUUAAUUAAGAGUGAUACAAUAAAAUUACGACUGAAACAGAUGAAGCAGACAACACAAGCAGACAUGUCGACCGCGUACCUGGGUUAAGUUGCUUAACUCGAGAAAUCUAUCAAAUUAUUAUUAACCUUUCCCCUGGUGAGCUUUCAACCUUUGUGCUUUCUAAAUGGCUCAAACUCACAAUUAAAUUAAAAAUGAAAGGUGCUUAUUAUUUGAGCGGUUCCUCUUGUCAAAUCUUAUCAAAUUAUAUAUAAAUAUUGCUAGAGCAAUAUUUUAUUAUUUAUUUAUAAAAUCAACUUGUUUUUAAAAAUAUUUUUCAUGGCAAAUAUUAGUCGAAAGCAAUUGAAUUAUUUGAGGGGUAAUCGUGUAUAAUAUGUGUGGCCGACACCUUUAUCUCGGAUCCUCUCAUUGAUUUUGAUCGGUCACGUUUGGGCCCCACUAGAAAAGUGGGGGCCCAUUGGACACGUUCACACCACCUUCACAUUAAAGCCCAAGAAAAAAAAAAAUAUCUUCACUAUCCUACAAUAUUCUAACUGUAUUUCAACUUUGAUCCCUAACUCAUAUUUAAAUUUCUUUUUCAUCCUCCAUUGAUUUUUUUGGAUUCGUAUUAAGGAAUGUCAUUAGAAUUCUUUUGUACGUAUGUGCAAAUAUGAUUUAAUAAAUUAAAAACAUAUGUUUUUAAUUUGAAUUACGUGAUAAAAUUUUAUAUAUUAACACGGUAAAAUAUUCAGUCCCUUAUCUCUUUUCAUGAAAAUGUUACAAUACUGAAUUAUGUACUCACUUUCUACUUAAAUUUUGACCUUUAUAUUUUUCUAUCUAUUAGAAUUAUGUUUUCAAUAAAAUGAAAUUGUUACAUAUCUUAUCUAAUAACCUCUCUUUUCCUUUUCUUUUAGAUUUUUUGUGUCUACCUUCACCUCUCCUUAAUCCUUAUUAGUGGUACAGUUAGUUUUUCAUACCUCCUUAAUGAUACAUCUGUAUACUACAUGUUUAAAUCAUUUAAAUUUCAUUUUUAUUAUUUUGACUACCAUAGAAACAACUCUCCCGUGUUACAUAUAACUUUAUUUCUAAUCACAUUUCUUUAACGAAUUUUAGGGCCAAAAGUGUAAUUUGCUACUCUCUUAGUUUAAAAUAGGAUGACCUACUUUUCUUUUUAGUUCAUUUAAAAAAAUAAUUUUUUUUUUUUUUGGCAAUACUUUGUUUUAAUUUUUCACAUGACAUAUUUAGGACC